AUUGAACGCUGGCGGCAUGCUUUACACAUGCAAGUCGAACGGUAACAGGCCUUCGGGCGCUGACGAGUGGCGAACGGGUGAGUAAUGCAUCGGAACGUGCCCAGUCGUGGGGAUAACGCAGCGAAAGCUGUGCUAAUACCGCAUACGAUCUGCGGAUGAAAGCGGGGACCUUCGGGCCUCGCGCGAUUAGAGCGGCCGAUAUCUGAUUAGCUUGUUGGUGGGGUAAAAGCCCACCAAGGCGACGAUCAGUAGCUGGUCUGAGAGGACGAUCAGCCACACUGGGACUGAGACACGGCCCAGACUCCUACGGGAGGCAGCAGUGGGGAAUUUUGGACCAAUGGACGCAAGUCUGAUCCAGCCAUUCCGCGUGCAAGGAUGAAGGCCCUCGGGUUGUAAAACUGCUUUUGUACGGAACGAAAAGGUUUCUAUUAAUACUAGGAGCUCAUGACGGUACCGUAAGAAUAAGCACCGGCUAACUACGUGCCAG
This 487-nucleotide ribosomal RNA is filed under the name uncultured bacterium. RNAcentral's name for it is "bacterial SSU rRNA". It matches the Rfam family "Bacterial small subunit ribosomal RNA", at positions 30 to 511 of the family's 1533-position model. The record is from RNAcentral.